Molecule: transfer RNA, 73 nt
Filed under: bioreactor metagenome
Description: tRNA-Glu
Rfam family: tRNA
About the family: Transfer RNA (tRNA) molecules are approximately 80 nucleotides in length. Their secondary structure includes four short double-helical elements and three loops (D, anti-codon, and T loops).
Source: RNAcentral
GGCCCUAUCGUCUAGCGGUUAGGACAGUAGAUUCUCAUUCUACUAACCGGGGUUCGAUUCCCCGUGGGGUCAC